ACUGAGCCACAUUUGCUAAAAUUGAACCCUUUCACCGACGGUCGCUGUUCAGUUUGAAAAUAACUGUUCCAGCAACAUUUUGGGGGAAGGACACUC
Small nucleolar RNA from Scomber scombrus (Atlantic mackerel), 96 nucleotides. Lineage: Eukaryota; Metazoa; Chordata; Actinopteri; Scombriformes; Scombridae. The record is from RefSeq and is a predicted model, not a curated record.